This 29-nucleotide non-coding RNA is filed under the name Mus musculus (house mouse). The record is from RNAcentral. Lineage: Eukaryota; Metazoa; Chordata; Mammalia; Rodentia; Muridae.
UUGGUUGGUAGGACCUUCCAUGUCUGUCA